Molecule: ribosomal RNA, 1475 nt
Filed under: uncultured prokaryote
Description: partial 16S ribosomal RNA
Rfam family: Bacterial small subunit ribosomal RNA
Source: RNAcentral
UAGAGUUUGAUCCUGGCUCACAAUGAACGCUGGCGGCGUGCUUAACACAUGCAAGUCGAACGAUGAAGCCUAGCUUGCUAGGUGGAUUAGUGGCGCACGGGUGAGUAAUAUAUAGAUAAUGUGCCUCUUAGUCUGGGAUAGCCAUUGGAAACGAUGAUUAAUACUAGAUACUCCUUCUAACUCUAAUGUUAGUUGGGAAAGUUUUUCGCUAAGAGAUCAGUCUAUAUCCCAUCAGCUUGUUGGUAGUGUAAGAGACUACCAAGGCUAUGACGGGUAGCGGGUUUGAGAGGAUGAUCCGCCACACUGGUACUGAGACACGGACCAGACUCCGACGGGAGGCAGCAGUGAGGAAUAUUGCACAAUGGAGGGAACUCUGAUGCAGCAACGCCGCGUGGAGGAUGACGCAUUUCGGUGUGUAAACUCCUUUUAUAUGUCAAGAAAAUGACGGUAGCAUAUGAAUAAGCACCGGCUAACUCCGUGCCAGCACCCUCCGUAAUACGGAGGGCGCAAGCGUUAUUCGGAAUUAUUGGGCGUAAAGGGCGUGUAGGCGGUCUUAUCGGUCAGAUGUGAAAGCCCAGGGCUCAACCCUGGACGUGCAUUUGAAACAGUAAGACUUGAGUACUGGAGAGGAAAGCGGAAUUCCUGGUGUAGAGGUGAAAUUCGUAGAUAUCAGGAGGAACACCGAUGGCGAAGGCAGCUUUCUGGACAGAAACUGACGCUGAUGCGCGAAGGCGUGGGUAGCGAACAGGAUUAGAUACCCUGGUAGUCCACGCAGUAAACGAUGUACACUAGGUGUAGGUGAUAUUAAAAUUGUCUGUGCCGCAGCUAACGCAUUAAGUGUACCGCCUGGGGGAGUACGGUCGCAAGAUUAAAACUCAAAGGAAUAGACGGGGACCCGCACAAGCGGUGGAGCAUGUGGUUUAAUUCGACGAUACGCGAAGAACCUUACCUGGACUUGACAUAGAAAGAAUUACGCAGAGAUGUAUAAGUGCUAGCUUGCUAGAACUUUCAUACAGGUGCUGCACGGCUGUCGUCAGCUCGUGUCGUGAGAUGUUGGGUUAAGUCCCGCAACGAGCGCAACCCUCGUGUUUAGUUACUAACAGUUCGGCUGAGGACUCUAAACAGACUGCCUGGGUAACCAGGAGGAAGGUGAGGACGACGUCAAGUCAUCAUGGCCCUUAUGUCCAGGGCUACACACGUGCUACAAUGGGGCAUACAAAGAGCAGCGAUACCGCGAGGUGGAGCAAAUCUGUUAAAAUGCCUCUCAGUUCGGAUAGCACUCUGCAACUCGAGUGCUUGAAGUUGGAAUCGCUAGUAAUCGUGGAUCAGCAAUGCCACGGUGAAUACGUUCCCGGGUCUUGUACUCACCGCCCGUCACACCAUGGGAAUUGAAUUCAUUCGAAGCGGGGAUGCUAAAAUAGCUACCUUCCACAGUGGAUUUAGUAACUUAGGGUGAAGUCGUAAGCAAGGUAACC